RNAcentral lists this ribosomal RNA (560 nucleotides) under uncultured beta proteobacterium. RNAcentral describes it as "bacterial SSU rRNA". It matches the Rfam family "Bacterial small subunit ribosomal RNA", at positions 18 to 573 of the family's 1533-position model. The record is from RNAcentral. Lineage: Bacteria; Pseudomonadati; Pseudomonadota; Betaproteobacteria.
CCUGGCUCAGAUUGAACGCUGGCGGAAUGCUUUACACAUGCAAGUCGAACGGCAGCACGGACUUCGGUCUGGUGGCGAGUGGCGAACGGGUGAGUAACAUAUCGGAACGUAUCCAAUAAUGGGGGAUAACUAAUCGAAAGGUUGGCUAAUACCGCAUACGCCCUGAGGGGGAAAGCUAGGGAUCUUCGGACCUGGCGUUAAUGGAGCGGCCGAUAUCUGAUUAGCUAGUUGGUGAGGUAAAGGCUCACCAAGGCGACGAUCAGUAGCUGGUCUGAGAGGACGACCAGCCACACUGGAACUGAGACACGGUCCAGACUCCUACGGGAGGCAGCAGUGGGGAAUUUUGGACAAUGGGCGCAAGCCUGAUCCAGCCAUUCCGCGUGAGUGAAGAAGGCCUUCGGGUUGUAAAGCUCUUUCGCAAGGGAAGAAAACUUAUCCUCUAACAUAGGAUGAGGUUGACGGUACCUUGAUAAGAAGCACCGGCUAACUACGUGCCAGCAGCCGCGGUAAUACGUAGGGUGCGAGCGUUAAUCGGAAUUACUGGGCGUAAAGCGUGCGCA